RNAcentral lists this ribosomal RNA (1311 nucleotides) under metagenome. RNAcentral's name for it is "bacterial LSU rRNA". It matches the Rfam family "Bacterial large subunit ribosomal RNA", at positions 1633 to 2925 of the family's 2925-position model. The record is from RNAcentral.
UUACAGGAAUCGUACCCGAAACCGACACAGGUGGUCAGGUCGAGUAGACCAAGGCGCUUGAGAGAACUCUGCUGAAGGAACCAGGCAAAAUGGUACCGUAACUUCGGGAGAAGGUACGCUGUUGUUGGUGAUGGAACUCGCUUCCUGAGCUGACGACAGCCGCAGAAACCAGGCCGCUGCAACUGUUUAUUAAAAACAUAGCACUCUGCAAACACGAAAGUGGACGUAUAGGGUGUGAUGCCUGCCCGGUGCUGGAAGGUUAAUUGAUGGGGUUAGCGUAAGCGAAGCUCUUGAUCGAAGCCCCAGUAAACGGCGGCCGUAACUAUAACGGUCCUAAGGUAGCGAAAUUCCUUGUCGGGUAAGUUCCGACCUGCACGAAUGGCAUAAUGAUGGCGGCGCUGUCUCCAGCAGAGGCUCAGUGAAAUCGAAAUCGCUGUGAAGAUGCAGUGUACCCGCGGCUAGACGGAAAGACCCCGUGAACCUUUACUGCAGCUUGACACUGAACUUUGACCUUACUUGUGUAGGAUAGGUGGGAGGCUUUGAAGCUGGAACGCUAGUUCCAGUGGAGCCGUCCUUGAAAUACCACCCUGGUAAUGUUGAGGUUCUAACUCUGUCCCGUGAUCCGGGACGAGGACCGUGUCUGGUGGGUAGUUUGACUGGGGCGGUCUCCUCCUAAAGAGUAACGGAGGAGUACGAAGGUGCGCUCAGCGUGGUCGGAAAUCACGCGUAGAGUAUAAAGGCAAAAGCGCGCUUAACUGCGAGACCCACAAGUCGAGCAGGUACGAAAGUAGGUCUUAGUGAUCCGGUGGUUCUGUAUGGAAGGGCCAUCGCUCAACGGAUAAAAGGUACUCUGGGGAUAACAGGCUGAUACCGCCCAAGAGUUCAUAUCGACGGCGGUGUUUGGCACCUCGAUGUCGGCUCAUCUCAUCCUGGGGCUGAAGCAGGUCCCAAGGGUAUGGCUGUUCGCCAUUUAAAGAGGUACGCGAGCUGGGUUUAGAACGUCGUGAGACAGUUCGGUCCCUAUCUACCGUGGGCGCUGGAAAUUUGAGAGGAUCUGCUCCUAGUACGAGAGGACCAGAGUGGACGAACCUCUGGUGUACCGGUUGUGACGCCAGUCGCAUCGCCGGGUAGCUAUGUUCGGAAGGGAUAACCGCUGAAAGCAUCUAAGCGGGAAGCCUACCUCAAGAUAAGAUUUCCCUAGGACUUUAUGUCCUCUAAAGAGCCGUUCGAGACUAGGACGUUGAUAGGUUGGAUGUGGAAGCAUAGUGAUAUGUGAAGCUGACCAAUACUAAUUGCUCGUGAGGCUUGACU